This 807-nucleotide long non-coding RNA is filed under the name Triticum aestivum (bread wheat). Its description in RNAcentral is "long non-coding RNA (TAES_LNC015679)". The record is from RNAcentral. Lineage: Eukaryota; Viridiplantae; Streptophyta; Magnoliopsida; Poales; Poaceae.
UCCAAGCAAAAAAACUGGGGACAGAAUUACAUGAUAAGAUCUACAGGCCACCAAGCAAAAUGUUUUAACUGUUUAUCAUGAUGCACUUGUACAGCACCGUGCUUGAAGGAGGCUUACAACACAAAGUAUUAGUCUUGAGAGACGGAGAACAACAUACAACAUGUCACGUCAAAGUUUACAGGUCACAGAGAUCUCCAUCCAAAACUGAGCCGAUCUCAUUGCAGGUUUCGAUAUGCUAGCAUAGGGCGGAGGGGCGUGCUAUGAUGGCUAUGACUACGAGAAGGUGUCCUCCCUGUCCCCCUCGGCGACCUCACCCUCCUCAAUGUUGCUGAACUCCAGGAAGUGCGUCGGCCUGUGGUCCUCAUGGUAGAAGUCGCGGGGUGUGCCCAGCUUCAUGCUGUACUUCAUCAGCGGGUCGUGCUUGACUCCCAUGAAGUUGUAGUUCCACGGAGCGUUGUCCGGAACCUGGUGGGAGACAAAGGUGAAGUGAGUAUUCCGAACUCGAGUUGGCUCUAAAGAACAAUUUGCAAAUAUUAAUCCUGUCAAGAUGAGUACACAUACCAUGUAGAAUCCAAGGAAGCGGUCGCUGAGAAGCAUCUGGACCUUCUCGUAGUGAGUUGGGAGGUACCCUUGUGGGUUGCUCCCGUUGUCCUUGUUGCCACGGGCCCACUCAUAACCACUUGGUGUCAAUUUGUAUGCAGUCAACGAGCACGAUCCUGGGGUGAAGCUGCAGGUCAAAAUGAUGCACUUCUCACCAUCCCACUGCUUGUUGUUCUCCAAAAUUUUAGCAUGUGAUGUCAAAUCCUG